This 1141-nucleotide unclassified non-coding RNA is filed under the name Haliotis rufescens (red abalone). Its description in RNAcentral is "uncharacterized LOC124149733, transcript variant X10". Lineage: Eukaryota; Metazoa; Mollusca; Gastropoda; Lepetellida; Haliotidae. The record is from RNAcentral.
UCAUAUUGUUGUUGUUUUUUAUCUCCGGUCUAGACAGGCUAGACUUAGAUUUAGUAUCUUCAUACGGUAUAUGUAUUUUAUACAUCACCUAAUUACAAUUUUAACAACCAAUAGAUAGAUCUAUAGAUUUUUAGUUAUCCGGUCUUAAUAGAAGAUCGUUACGGUUUUCAUUCAUACAUGCCAUUGUAUGUGUAUUUGUUUGAUAGAACUACACAUAUUUAUAAGAACUGAUCGUUACAAAAUAUAUUGGCAAACAAGGUUAAAAUUUGUCUUUGGAAAAAUCGUCCCGACGUGGUCAGAAAGAGUUAUCCCCCUUGGCCGGCAUAGCGAUCGGUUUUCGAUCAAACAUUUAUCGAUACUGAGAUGGAGAACGUCAACGUGCCGCUGACCCUGCACAUGACGCAUGGUAUCCAAGUGGGCUGUGUCCUGCCACAUUCAGGAAAUUUGAGGUGCAACCCUUGUAGGAAAUCAGUUUCAGGCCCAUUCAAACGGUUUCACUGUCCAGUUACACAAAGCCUGGUGUAAAUAGCUUGUUUGGUCCAGUUGCACCCAACAAAGAUGCUGUCUACACCAAGUGUGACUGAUAGUGCUGUGUAAGCAAAAUUAGGCAUAUUGCUGAAUAUUGGGACCCGAUGUUGUGCUCUCUCAACCGGGCAACUACUAUGCUGUAAUGAAACUUGAUGGUAUCAGUUUCCACCAACGCUAAACUACAUAUACAGCUCCCAAUACAGUGUGCUUUGAGAAGGGAGAGCAACUAUGCCCUGUACGUUUCUGGAAAGAAGAAGUGUUGAGAAGAAGAGUUCUGUGUUGAAGUCAGCAUUGACAUCCUGAGUAGUGAAAAGAUCAGCAGGUAGUAGCAUCAGUUCGCUACUGUGUGGAGGGACAGUGUUUCUCCCUAUACUCAUGGACAGUACUGUACAUCUAAACAUAUGAUUCAUAUCAUAUAUUGUUUCAUAAUGUGAGGUGUGGCGUUUUUCAUUCAUAAUAUCAAUUAUCAUAUAUGGCGAAUUUAGCAUCUUACAAAUAUACUGUGCAUGGAAUUUCUUCACUUACACUGUUUUCAGCAUUUUGAGGCAAAACUCUUUUCAUGUGUUACAUUUAUGUUUAUUGUUUCCUCAACAAUAAAGAACUAGCAAAAUGA